This 253-nucleotide ribosomal RNA is filed under the name uncultured bacterium. RNAcentral's name for it is "partial 16S ribosomal RNA". It matches the Rfam family "Bacterial small subunit ribosomal RNA", at positions 524 to 776 of the family's 1533-position model. The record is from RNAcentral.
UACGAAGGGGGCUAGCGUUGCUCGGAAUCACUGGGCGUAAAGGGCGCGUAGGUGGCCCGUUGAGUGGCUGGUGAAAUCCCGGGGCUCAACUCCGGGGCUGCCGGUCAGACUGGCGAGCUAGAGCACGGUAGGGGCAGAUGGAAUUCCCGGUGUAGCGGUGGAAUGCGUAGAGAUCGGGAAGAAUACCAGUGGCGAAGGCGUUCUGCUGGGCCGUUGCUGACACUGAGGCGCGACAGCGUGGGGAGCAAACAGG